RNAcentral lists this ribosomal RNA (492 nucleotides) under uncultured bacterium. RNAcentral's name for it is "partial 16S ribosomal RNA". It matches the Rfam family "Bacterial small subunit ribosomal RNA", at positions 29 to 507 of the family's 1533-position model. The record is from RNAcentral.
AGUGAACGCUGGCGGUAGGCCUAACACAUGCAAGUCGAACGGCAGCACAGUAAGAGCUUGCUCUUACGGGUGGCGAGUGGCGGACGGGUGAGGAAUACAUCGGAAUCUACUUUUUCGUGGGGGAUAACGUAGGGAAACUUACGCUAAUACCGCAUACGACCUACGGGUGAAAGCAGGGGAUCUUCGGACCUUGCGCGAUUGAAUGAGCCGAUGUCGGAUUAGCUAGUUGGCGGGGUAAAUGCCCACCAAGGAGACGAUCCGUAUCUGGUCUGAGAGGAUGAUCAGCCACACUGGAACUGAGACACGGUAGAGACUCCUACGGGAGGCAGCAGUGGGGAAUAUUGGACAAUGGGCGCAAGCCUGAUCCAGCCAUACCGCGUGGGUGAAGAAGGCAUUCGGGUUGUAAAGCCCUUUUGUUGGGAAAGAAAAGCAGCAGGUUAAUACCCCGCUGUUCUGACGGUACCCAAAGAAUAAGCACCGGCUAACUUCGUG